GAUGAACGCUGGCGGCGUGCCUAAUACAUGCAAGUCGAGCGAACAGACGAGGAGCUUGCUCCUCUGACGUUAGCGGCGGACGGGUGAGUAACACGUGGAUAACCUACCUAUAAGACUGGGAUAACUUCGGGAAACCGGAGCUAAUCCCGGAUAAUAUAUUGAACCGCAUGGUUCAAUAGUAAAAGACGGUUUUGCUGUCACUUAUAGAUGGAUCCGCGCCGCAUUAGCUAGUUGGUAAGGUAACGGCUUACCAAGGCGACGAUGCGUAGCCGACCUGAGAGGGUGAUCGGCCACGCUGGAACUGAGACACGGUCCAGACUCCUACGGGAGGCAGCAGUAGGGAAUCUUCCGCAAAGGGCGAAAGCCUGACGGAGCAACGCCGCGUGAGUGAUGAAGGUCUUCGGAUCGUAAAACUCUGUUAUUAGGGAAGAACAAAUGUGUAAGUAACUAUGCACGUCUUGACGGUACCUAAUCAGAAAGCCACGGCUAACUACGUG
RNAcentral lists this ribosomal RNA (497 nucleotides) under uncultured bacterium. RNAcentral describes it as "partial 16S ribosomal RNA". It matches the Rfam family "Bacterial small subunit ribosomal RNA", at positions 28 to 507 of the family's 1533-position model. The record is from RNAcentral.